RNAcentral lists this ribosomal RNA (247 nucleotides) under uncultured crenarchaeote. RNAcentral describes it as "partial 16S ribosomal RNA". It matches the Rfam family "Archaeal small subunit ribosomal RNA", at positions 478 to 725 of the family's 1478-position model. Lineage: Archaea; Thermoproteati; Thermoproteota. The record is from RNAcentral.
AGCUCUCCGAGUGGUGUGGAUGUUUAUUGGGCCUAAAGCAUCCGUAGCUGGCCAAGUUAGUCCCUUGUUAAACCCACCGAAUUAAUCGUUGGCGUGCGGGGGAUACUGCUCGGCUAGGGGACGAGAGAGGCAGACGGUAUUCUCGGGGUAGGGGUGAAAUCCUAUAAUCCCGAGAAGACCACCAGUGGCGAAGGCUGUCUGCUAGAACGCGCCCGACGGUGAGGGAUGAAAGCUGGGGGAGCGAACC